UACGUAGGUGGCAAGCGUUGUCCGGAUUUACUGGGCGUAAAGCGUAUGCAGGCGGAAGGUUAAGUAGGAAGUGAAAGGGUGGAGCUCAACUCCGCCACUGCUCCCUAUACUGGCCUUCUUGAGUGCCGGAGAGGAAGAUGGAACUCCACAUGUAGCGGUGAAAUGCGUUGAGAUGUGGAGGAACACCAAUGGCGAAAGCAAUCUUCUGGACGGAAACUGACGCUGAGAUACGAAAGCCAAGGGAGCGAACAGG
RNAcentral lists this ribosomal RNA (253 nucleotides) under uncultured bacterium. RNAcentral's name for it is "partial 16S ribosomal RNA". It matches the Rfam family "Bacterial small subunit ribosomal RNA", at positions 524 to 776 of the family's 1533-position model. The record is from RNAcentral.